AGCGGGGUUGAGCAGCCAGGAGUGCUCGUCGGGCUCAUAACCCGAAGGUCGGUGGUUCAAAUCCACCCCCCGCUA
This 75-nucleotide transfer RNA is filed under the name Candidatus Altarchaeales archaeon. RNAcentral describes it as "tRNA-Met". It matches the Rfam family "tRNA". From Rfam's summary of the family: Transfer RNA (tRNA) molecules are approximately 80 nucleotides in length. Their secondary structure includes four short double-helical elements and three loops (D, anti-codon, and T loops). Further hydrogen bonds mediate the characteristic L-shaped molecular structure. tRNAs have two regions of fundamental functional importance: the anti-codon, which is responsible for specific mRNA codon recognition, and the 3' end, to which the tRNAs corresponding amino acid is attached (by aminoacyl-tRNA synthetases). tRNAs cope with the degeneracy of the genetic code in two manners: having more than one tRNA (with a specific anti-codon) for a particular amino acid; and 'wobble' base-pairing, i.e. permitting non-standard base-pairing at the 3rd anti-codon position. RNAcentral also lists the same sequence under 1 other name. The record is from RNAcentral. Lineage: Archaea; Nanobdellati; Candidatus Altarchaeota; Candidatus Altarchaeia; Candidatus Altarchaeales.